This is an RNA transcript of Dermacentor silvarum, 7902 nucleotides long. It is a transcript of the gene named sialin, with no coding region annotated. The transcript has 12 exons. NCBI's taxonomy places the organism in Eukaryota, Metazoa, Arthropoda, Arachnida, Ixodida, Ixodidae. The record is from RefSeq and is a predicted model, not a curated record.
AUGACAGCAACAUAAGCGUGAUCAUUCCUCCAGUUUGCAUUUGAUUCUGAAAGCUGAGAUGCAUAGCUGCAGUAAAGGUCGAACCUAAUACGCAAAAGAAAUAGAAAAGAGGCAAUAAAAAAAAAAGCAGCUCUGCAAUUCCGCUCAAGAUUAAGCGGCUAACGACUUUCACUUCAAUUAGGAAACGCUAUCCUCGUGAGUGACAAUUCUUGUCUUGUAGUUCUUUUACACAUUUUUUUUUUUUGCACGCGCAGUUGUAUUUUUCUGCUUGUAUCUAUUUGCACAACAUUUUCGACUGUCCGAGCUGCCAAGGGUACACGGCACAUUACCGCCAUUAGAUUUCGACUAUUGCCCCCAACAGCUGCGCCGACGUAUCGGGACCGCACUUAAUCGUGGAGCGACGCAACUGAAUGCGCGCGUUUUCUUUUUCUUUUUUUUUCAUUUUUUUUUCACUGACACUGACACGAAGUGGGAACCCCGUCCGGCGAACGGUUUCCACGUAUACCGGCUCGCAAGGUUGGGUAUAGGCGUCAUCGCUCAGCCGUCCAGCUCAGAUUCGGAAGCGUAUAUAGUCGUGGUAUGCGGCGGAGCGCAAUAAAUGUGGCGAACCGACAGCGCGGGAAGCGAACAGUCGGUGCCCCCGCAAGCCACAAAAAAAGUGAAAAUAUAAACUCGCGCGAAAGAAGCGAGCGCGCGCGUUUUCUCUCUUUCACUGAUAGCGCGGUGCCCGCACGGUUAAAGCCACGCUCUCAGGCAACUCGCGCCGGCGUUGCGGAGUCGUCGUCGCUCGCUGUCGCACUCGUCACACACCGCAUCGCGUCCGACCUUUUCCCGCAGCCCUCGUCAUCCUUUCUCCACGCAGGAGGCGUGUGCCGCUCUCUGUCAGCUGCUGCGAAGCGCGAACGGUGCCGGAGUCGUACGCGCGCGGUCCUCGCUCCGUUCCCUGGAGCGUUGUCACUCUCGGAACGUGCCACGGUCUGGCACGCCGGUGGUGGUGGUGGUGGUUUUGGACUGCAUGCGCCUUGUGGACUUCCAGUCUGCUUUUUCACGCCGGUGAAGUUUAGUGCACCGUCUUGUUAGCCUCCUGCCUCGGCUGCGUUCUCCUACUACUACUGAUGGAAAGGUGACACGCCACGCGGAAGCUAGGAACACCUGGUGACUCGAACGUGUUCGGAGGUCUUCUUCGGAAGAAGAACGAAGCGGAGACGCGGUCUGCUCUUCCAGCAGCAGCAGCGCCAUGACGGUAGCGGUCAUCACAAAAGAUGGCCUGGCGAUCGGAACACCGGACAGCGGAACCGGGAACAACGUGAAACAUGGAGACAGACGACCGAGCGAGGCCAGCAGCCAUGGCGGCGAGGGCUGCUCGGUGCAAUGCCGCUACGUGCUCAUCGUGCUGGGAUUCCUCGGUCUGGCCAACGUGUACGGCAUGCGUGUCAACCUCAACGUGGCGCUGGUCGCAAUGGUCAACCACACGGCUGUCCAGGAGACGACCAAGCCCAGCGACUGUCCACUGCCCACGACGCACCUGCACGGUUUGGCCCAGACGCCGGCCAACGCGACUGGUCACGGAACAAAAACAGGGCAACAGGACGGCCCGUUCGUGUGGGACCCGGUGACGCAGGGCGUCAUCCUGGGCGCCUUCUACUACGGCUACAUCGUGACGCCCAUCCCCGGCGGACGGCUGGCCGAGAGGUGCGGAGCCAAGUGGCUCUUCGGCUUGGGCACGCUGUUCACCGGGCUGCUAUCCCUCCUCAUCCCGGUGGCGGCCCACGCCGGCGUCUCCUACCUGAUCGCCGUCAGGGUUCUACAGGGAAUCGGAGAGGGCGUGACGUAUCCGGCCAUCGAGGCACAAGUGGCGCACUGGAUCCCUGUCAAUCAGCGGGCCACCGCCGUCUCUCUCAUUCACACGGGUGGCUUCUUCGGCGUCGCCAUGGGAAUGUACAUCUCCGGGCUGCUGGCUGGCUCGGACUUCCUCGGAGGCUGGCCGUCCGUGUUCUACGUGUUCGGCUUAUGGACGUGCGUGUGGUUUCUGUUUUGGAUUUUGUUCACGUCCAACCGUCCAGCCGACCACCGGUGGGCCAGUGCCCGGGAGGUACACAUGAUCGAGGCGGACCUCGGCGAACAGAAGCCCACGCUUGCUCGGAAGACGCCGUGGAGGAAGAUGUUCACCUCGACAGCCGUGCUGGGCGUGGUGAUGGCGCACUUCGGCACCCACUGGCUGCAGUACGUGCUCGUAAGCGAGCUGCCCACAUACCUGGGAACUGUGCUACACUACGAGAUCGACGACAACGGCCUGUACUCUGCGCUUCCUUACAUCGGCGCCAUCGUGUCCGGAGCUAUGUCGGGCAUCAUUGCCGACUACCUGCGUAGCCGAGCCCUGAUGUCUCCGACGCACAUCCGGAAACUCUUCAAUGGACUCGCGCACUUGGUUCCUUCGGUGAUGCUGAUGAUCGUGCCCACGGUGGGUGGCUGCAACGGUCCACUCAGCCUGGUGCUCUUCGUGUUGGCCGGAACCGUGCGCGGAGUCAGCGAAGCGGGCUACAUGGCCAUUCCUGUCGACAUGGCGCCAGACUACGCAGGUACCAUUCUGGGUAUCUGCGUCAGCAUCGGCAACACAACCGGCAUCCUGGUGCCAUACAUCACAGGUGUUCUGACAGAGACAAUGAACACUCUGGAGCAGUGGAGCUACUCCUUCUAUCUGGCUGGUGUCGUGGGCCUGGUGACGGGGCUCUUCUUCCAGCUGUUCGCCUCAGCCGAAGUGCAGAGUUGGGGGCUCGUCGAAACGACACCGGACAAGGCGCCGCCGUGCGCCAACGAAAAGACGGCAUUGAAAACCUCCAAGCAAGCAACGCCGAGCAUUAACGGUGCGACCGCACCUGCAACCGAUGGCAAGGAAGCGAGGACCGAGCUCUGAUACGAAACCAAUGCCUAUCCUUGCUCGCUCAGCAUCAUAUCUUCCAAAGAAAGCAGUAGACUUGGGCGAGUUUCGCGCUGCACUGCUCUUUUCGAUGCGUAUGCCAAAGCAAGUUUAAAAGCCAUUCGCCAACACGUCGUCGCAUCAUGUCCGUUCGCUAAAGGCGACCGGGAACAACGUUGUUUCGAAUGAAACGGUGAACGAGUAAUCCCUGAAAAUUUCGUUCGCUUGAAAGCGCGGAAGACCUUCGCGCGUUUCGAGAACGAAAUCCCAGUUCCUUUAUUACAAAGGCAUCCAACGUAACCCGCUACCUGCUCCGUGAUAAGAGUGGAUUCCUAUUUGCGUUUAGUAUUUGUGCUAUAGCUGUGACCUGCUUGUGCUGUGAUGCGAGACUGAUGUGAAAGUUUGAUGGAUGCGCCAUCGUGCAAGACUGGCAAAGGCAGUGCGUUUCUUCCUUGCCUACGCAACAGCCCGAUCAAGCCAAAAUCAUCUUGACGGCCACCGUUUUUACGUGAACUGCUGCGUAUCACGCGGUGCUCUUACGACGAAAUGUACGCCAUCAACUACGUCAUUUUCUGCAUUUGUUUGCUGAUGUGUGCUUGUUAUCCCUUCUACUGGGCAGCUCAGUAUAAACGUAAAUGUGCUACAUGUGUAGGAAUGCGUGUAUUACAAAACUGCAUCUGUUGCUCGUAGCAUCCUGGCAGGUUGCAAAGUGCGUGCCAACGUGAAGACAUCAAGGCCUGUGUCCUCGUCGCCUCGAAGUUUCGAUACGUCCGUAAGCUUUUCUUCGACUGCAGUUGAUGUCUGUGCGUGAUCGAUGCGUGCAUGGAUUUUGGGGAUCUGCUACAGAUGUAGUGGCCUUCAUGCCAUAUCGAACAAGAACGGCGCCUUUGUCACAUGCCUAAUUAGGGUUCCGAAAAAAACGGCGCCGGAAAAAAUGGCCAGGGAAGAAAUGGCCCCUGAUACUAUGUCCCCGAAAAAAAACGUCCCCGAAAAAAUGUCCCCCGAAAAAAUGUCCCCUGAUAAAAUGUCCCCUGAUAAAAUGUCCCCGGAUAAAAUGUCCCCGGAUAAAAUGUCCCCGGAUAAAAUUUCCCCAGGUGAAAUGGCGCCGUAAAAAAGUUCCGGCCCCACGUGUAAACUAGGAAAAAAUGGCCUCAAAUACCUUAUGGCGGCUGUAUAAACUGCUGUAAUCUAACGUCGCCUAAAAGUAAUAUAGUCCAGCGUAUCGUUAUAGAAAAGUGAUUGCCACGAGAAAGAUAUUUUCCUAUGGAACACUAGAAGCAAGCUCGGAAUUGCAGAUUACAGAGAGCAAGCGUACAAAGGUACAGAUAAACCGAGUGAACGACGUUGUAACUUUCCACUUAACGUCUCCGCCUUAUCCUCUACGACGUGGGACGUCCACUGCACACUGUAGAUAGCGGCCACAUUAAAUUCCGGGACAGAAAGAAAAACAAAAGAAAACGAAGAAAAGAUUUUCAGCGUUCUGUUGGACAAACAAUGCAGCUUUAAGUAGCCUGUAUGAAAGGACAAAUAUGUUCGCGCAACAUUUCGUGAAUCACCGGAUAGCUAACGCUCCUAACGAAAACCGUUAGCUAUCAUACUCGGCAGUACUUCUAUUAAUGACAAUGCCACCCGGGAAAGUUCAUCAGAUCUUAUCCGGCCGCGCUUGUAGUUUUCUCUCAUGUCAUCGCCCAUUCAGAUUUCCUCAGUUACAAAAAAAAAAAAAAAAAAAAAUACCAUCUUGGGUUCUAGAUGCAGAAACCACGAUCUGGUUAUGAGGCACGCCGUAGUGGGGGACUCGGGAAUAAUGUUGACCACCUAGGAACUUUUAGCGCGCACCUAAAUCUAAGCACACGAGAGUUCUUACUGUUCGACCUCAUCAGAAUGCAACCGCCGCUGCUGGGAAUCAAACCAGCGACUUUUAGCUCUGCAACGCGCGUCCUGACCACUAACUACCACGGCGGGUCUUUCGUUUAUUAUGCCACCGCCGACUACAAUUUUUCGGGGCACUAGUUCGACCAACAAGCACUGUACGUUAGCAAAAAUUCGCAAAUAAUUUGCCUCUCAUAUUCAAACGGGUUACUCGAGAAGUCAUUUUUUUUUUACGUGGGGCCGAAAUUUCCUACAAAUUGUUUUCACCUGGACUAUUUCCCACAGGGACAUUUUUUUCCGGGGAUAUCUUUCCGGGGACAAUACUUCCGGGGGACAAUAUCUCCGGGAAAGUUUUUUUUCCUGCACCCAUCUAAUUGUGUUAUCUCAAAGCGUGCACUGGAAGUCAUGAAUGUGACACUUUUCAGAUACGCACUAUUCACGCAGUCUUGAUAACAUCUACUUGCAAGGAGCUUUGGAUGCCCCUGAUUCUAUAGCCUGUGAGCCCCACCUUUCUUUUUUCUGUGAAACUUAAUAUACUAAUAUAACCCUUACAAGUAUUUAAUAGCUGGCCAUAAAUGUUCUUUUUUUCUUUUUUAUAUGGAAAUUUGCGAGAAAGUUGAAUUCCCGCGAAGCCUGCGUAGAUAUAUACUAUAUGGCAUUAAAUUUAAAGCUUGUUUGUAUUAGUUUUUGCGCCAUACAAAGCGAUUCACCAAAUUUGGAGCGCGACGUAUUGGCAAAGCAUAAAUUAAGACGUCGUGGAAACCGUGUACCGUAAACAUUUGUUGCCAACAGUGCAUUGAUUAUUUGCCUGCCCUGCACAGGACACCCCAGGUUGUGACCAGACCUGACUUCCUGUCAUGCAGUGGGGAUGUUGUCCCUUUUAUAUUAACAUGUAAAAAUAUUCUGUUUUUAUUUAAUCUUUUGCCCUAAUAACCUGGAAUUGCCUGCCAGGCGUUUGGCUAGGCUAACACGUGCAGCUUCGAGACGUUAAGCCUCAUAUUUUAAUUAAACACAUUGUCAGAGCUACGAAGCUCUAGAAAGAGAAGCGACAACCGCAUGGAGCGUAUUUUCGGCGUAUUUGCGGGCGUGGCUCUUGUGCGCCUUUUUCGUUUGGUUUCGAUCGGCACAUAAAACCCCAGAAAGGAGAAGAAAUCGGGACGUGCUAUACGUAAUUUGGCGCACCGUCGACUUCAUACGUUGUAGUCAUAUUACAUGAAACAAUUGUUACAGAAGACAUCGCAGAUUUGAACGUGCUAACCACCGAACGAUGAGCGCACAUGGACACAGUUUUCCCAGCGCACUGCCUGCAUUCGAUGCCAAAGCAUAGUACAUCACAUACUGCAAGUUCAAGGCAUACAAAGAAUACGUGCUCUUAUGUUAACAUCAGCUCCACACGUUAGGUUCCAGUAUGUAAAGAGCAUAGUAUUUGGCCUUGCGGAUCAAAGGUUAUUCACUGCGAAACGCGCGGAGGGAUACAUUUCUGUGACCGUGGUACUCGCACAGCAUCCGCAGCGUUGUAUGCUUUGUAUGAAACUGAGUAUAUCAUUGAUCUGUAUCGCGCAUUUCUGUCGUACUUGCGUGCGUAUAUCCAUAUUUUAAGAUAUGCGAUUUAUUGCUACGACGAAUAUCACUGUGUUUGUAUGUUGCUUUAUUCAUUAGUCCCUCUCGUCUCUCUUUGUUUUCUUCUUCGGUAUGUGUGUGCGACAGCGUAACUAAAUCUAUUGUGCUUGCGGACAGCAAGGCUCUGGAGAGCCAUAGAUUAAUUUUGUGUGUGUAUGUGAAAGUGCCGUGUCGAUCCGUGUCAACAUGACUUAGAGCAGCUUGCGACUAUUGUCUUUUGACCAUCACAGUGUUUUUAAGGAUUGAAAACAAAUAAACCUACAUCUAACGCGCUACUCAUAGUUCGAUGUUUCGAAAUUCAGGAAACAGAGAGGUCUAAUAACUUAGCGGUAAUAGAGCGAAAUUCACGCACACUGUUUGAAAACAAUAUGGCAGGCAUCGGCUGUAGAUAUAACUACUUUCUAAUCUAUCGAGUGAAAAUAAAAGCUUUUUUUUUUGAAAAGAUAUUCGCAGAGAGGCUUUCAUUGCAGGAAAUGCAAUGUUCACCCGCUUUUAAAAAAAAUGUUCUCUGUUUCUAACAAUAGACGUUCAUUCUUCCUACUCCUCCUUCAACUGAAAAUUAUUCCGUAAUUUGCUCUGUCAUAUCAGCUAUCUUUUUUUUCAUUUUUUUAGCUGAACUACUAAAUUAAGCUUAUUUUAUCGGUGAGUGGCCCGAGGAAGUGAGAGAAAAAAAAAUCGGCUUUAUUGGCUGUUUGACGAGCUCGCACCCGCUGUUCAUAAAUGCUGUGCGUACAGGCAGUGGAAACAGAAUGCAGAUGGGUUGUAUUAACGCCUCUAUCACACUUCACAGUAAGAGUAAACAAUACACGCGGAAUAGCUGGAAAGCUGCAGCAUGUUCAACACCGGACCUAAUAGAUUACCAUCUUUAACACGUGCAGAUUUGCAUACGCAUGAUACGCAAGAUUUGCAUACGCAUGACAAAAAGAGUAUCAAUAUCUAGAAAAUAUAGCCCAAUUACAGUUUUAAUUCUAUAACUCAAGAAAACGCAAAGUACAUAAUAAAAUACUAUAAAAAUACAAUGUUAAGUCAUAUUGCAUGCAAUGGCUAGAUCUUUCUAAUUGACUUGUACGAACGCUCGUCUUGGUGAAGACUGUUUAAAAGUCUUGGAAUUGUGUUUGAUAACAUUAGUGUCCCAUAAUUUGUUCUAUAUAAAGGCACCGUCUAUUUUUCAAUGUGUCUGUUAUCGUAUGAAAGCAGUUAAACAAUUACAUUGAACAUCUUGUGAAAAAAACAACAACUUUUAUUCAGCCUUUUUUAGCAGCAUUUUGCAUAAGCAUAGUAGGAACAAUGUGCACCUGUACCUGAAUCUUAUUUGAAGCUGAGAGAUCAAUUAAUUUUCGAGUGUUAAAUACACACCACGUCGUUUGCCCUGCUUGGGCACAGUUCCGGCCUUAUAUUUACGAAACCUGUCAUUCGUUGACAGUAAAUGCAAAUCAAUCUGUGUCUCUGCUCCUGCGGAUAUGCAACGACUGCACAGUAUACGUUGAACCAAGUCG